UCGUAACAAGGUCUCCGUUGGUGAACCAGCGGAGGGAUCAUUACCGAGUUUACAACUCCCAAACCCCUGUGAACAUACCUAUACGUUGCCUCGGCGGAUCAGCCCGCGCCCCGUAAAAAGGGACGGCCCGCCCGAGGACCCCUAAACUCUGUUUUUAGUGGAACUUCUGAGUAAAACAAACAAAUAAAUCAAAACUUUCAACAACGGAUCUCUUGGUUCUGGCAUCGAUGAAGAACGCAGCAAAAUGCGAUAAGUAAUGUGAAUUGCAGAAUUCAGUGAAUCAUCGAAUCUUUGAACGCACAUUGCGCCCGCCAGUAUUCUGGCGGGCAUGCCUGUUCGAGCGUCAUUUCAACCCUCAAGCUCAGCUUGGUGUUGGGACUCGCGGUAACCCGCGUUCCCCAAAUCGAUUGGCGGUCACGUCGAGCUUCCAUAGCGUAGUAAUCAUACACCUCGUUACUGGUAAUCGUCGCGGCCACGCCGUAAAACCCCAACUUCUGAAUGUUGACCUCGGAUCAGGUAGGAAUACCCGCUGAACCUAAGCAUAUCA
Molecule: unclassified non-coding RNA, 547 nt
Filed under: Fusarium clavum
Lineage: Eukaryota; Fungi; Ascomycota; Sordariomycetes; Hypocreales; Nectriaceae
Description: sequence contains 18S rRNA gene, ITS1, 5.8S rRNA gene, ITS2, 28S rRNA gene
Rfam family: 5.8S ribosomal RNA (bases 193-346)
Source: RNAcentral